AUGAUAUGAUGUAUGUGUGCUCUGUGUGUACCCUUCUUCUGUCUUUCCUUCCAUGUGUCACAAUGAUUUGCUGGUGUAGGGACAGAUUUGGUGGGGAAUGUGUUUGUGUCAUCUAUGGGAAAGCUGGAUUUUAAAUGAUUCUUAUGGCCAAAGCUGCCUGGUGGCUUAUGUGCUUUUUUUCACCUCCACUAGGUGCGAGUGGAACUGUUAUACAACCCAGCCUUCUGCAGUGCUUCCACAGAAGGACAAAGAUACCGAGUGCAGGUCCCAGUUAGAGCCCUGUCCUCCUGGGCAGUACCGUUUGUGAUAGUCCCAUUACAGCAAGGAUUACAUGAUAUUGAGGUCAAAGCGAGUGUCCGGGGAGAGUUGGCGUCCGAUGGUGUGAGGAAGAAGCUGAAAGUUGUACCUGAAGGGGAACGGAAAAAUAUUGUGACUGUUAUUGAACUGGACCCAAGCGUAAAAGGAGUUGAUGGAACCCAGGAACAAACGGUCAUAGCCAAUAAAUUAGAUGACAAGGUGCCUGAAACAGAAAUUGAGACCAAGAUUUCUGUUCUAGGUGACCCUGUGGCUCAGAUUAUUGAAAA
Molecule: non-coding RNA, 584 nt
Organism: Notechis scutatus (mainland tiger snake)
Lineage: Eukaryota; Metazoa; Chordata; Lepidosauria; Squamata; Elapidae
Source: RefSeq, a predicted model, not a curated record